GUGUAAGAUGAACUAAUUAUGUCAAUUAUCACAAAAAAGUCGUAAUCUGAUUAUAUCAUCGUGUCUAUUUAUAUGCAAUAUUAAAGAACCUGAUAAAACUAUCCAGGUUCUUUUUUGA
Molecule: small RNA, 118 nt
Filed under: Paenibacillus selenitireducens
Lineage: Bacteria; Bacillati; Bacillota; Bacilli; Caryophanales; Paenibacillaceae
Description: Bacillus sRNA ncr1015
Rfam family: Bacillus sRNA ncr1015
Source: Rfam by way of RNAcentral